UGGCAGGUGGCAGCGGCGGGGAUGUGGGUCCUGGGUUGAGCUGAGAUUGCGGUUGGGGUUUCUUUCCUUUCCUGAUUGCUUUUUUUUUUUUUUUUUUCCUCUUUCUUUCUUUCUUUCAAGGGCUUUUCUGUAAAUCAACCCAAGCUCCCUAGAGAGCAUCGUCUCUGUGCCGCAGUGGGAGCCCCUGCUCCAGCUGGGCAUGAGGACGGGAGUGAAGCCGGGUGGAGCACAGCCCUGGGCGGGGGGACCCUGCCCUCUAUGGGGCAGUGGGUCACCCCGCCGAAAAUCACAUUUUAGGGUCCCUUCAGUCAAACCACCCACCACAACCUUCUUCUCCCCAGCCACAGUACGGGAGAGCAGCAUCCCCACGGGACUGCCACCUCCUAGGAGCUGUGUCACGGGGCAGGAGGUCAGGAUGUGGCUACCCCAUCCCAAACUGCAGCUCUGAGACAAAGAGGAUCCAUUCCGGAGCUCUGCUCGCUUGGAGCUCAGCGACCUCCUGCCACAGCGUGGCAGGAGUUAUUCAAAGGCGGGCGGAAGCGAGCGCAGCAACUGAAACAACAAUGAAAAGGAAACAGAGCUCGAAAAAUUCUCCGUUCAUAAAUCAACUGAACUGCAGGUGAUCCCUGGGCAGGAGCGAGCUGAGGAAGAGACACGGCUCGGCUCGGCAUGGCCAGCAGCCAGGCAGGCUCCGGCCCCCCAGGCAGGGAUGGGGGAGGCCGGGAUUUCCCAGGGUGGUCCUGAGUGGUGCUGGGAUCCGUGUCCAUGUCCCUGGGGCUGCACAUCAGGGACUUUGAGGCAGGAAAUAGAGCUGCUGGAUUGGGACGAGCUCCUCAGUGCUGGCAACAUCUCUGCAUGGGCAGGGGAUGGGCAUGGUUGGAAAAAAAUCUCCCCCUCCUGCCUCCAGUUGUGUCCUGCAGCAUCUUGCUGCAGGCAGGAUGGGGGCCAGUUUGGACAAAUCUAGCUGUCCCCUCCUAGCUGUGCCCUCUGCCAGCUCCUGUAAGCUGAGAACCAGUCCUGGGGACACCAAAAGGAAUUUAUGCUUUUGGGACCAGUGGAUGGCCCCAAGGACCAGGCUGGUGGCAGUGGGCUGACCUUACAGCAGAGGAAAUGAUCCAGUUGUGUUCCCCGCACUGGGAAAGCCAGGAGAUAUUGCAUGUCCCCUUCUGCUGCUAUCCGUCCUCCCUCCUGUGAAUUCCCUGUCAUCUUGUCUUUUGGCAGAGCUGGAAAACUGGGGGACCACCGUAAAUAAAUCCUGUGUCUUUAAGCCGUUUUGUACAGUACAAGAAAAUGCACUCGUUGAAUUACAGCUUUUUAAUCAAAUACAUGUAACCAUGUCACUUAAAGUGCUCGCGAAAAGCAAGGAAAAAAAAAACCCAACACAAUUGGAAGAGUACGAUAUUAAAACCAGCUGCCUGCUUACCCCCACCACAGUUAAUAGUUUUUGAAUGUUCUGAAUGAGAGAGAAACCAGAGCCAAGCUCCACUUUCAUGUCCAUCUUUCUGAUCAAGCCCUGUCAGACGGGGGGGCCGGGCAGCCUGGCACAGAGGCGGGGGAUGCGGGAGGGCUGCACUCCCUUGUCCUGCCGCUUUGCCCAUCCCUUCGGGCUUUGUCCCCGUGCUGAUGGGAUGUGAGAGCUCACCGUCUUCCUGCCUGCCUGGGACCCAGCCUGGAGAUGGGAGCACAGGUUGCCCAAGUCAUGCAGAGGUGAGGGAUGCUGCCCUGGGACAUCACCACCACGUUAUGUGUCCCCUCCUGAACAAAUUUUACCCAAUUCUACCUCUUGAUGCUUAUUCCUGCAAUUUGGCAUCGCCGCUCGUCCCCCAGAGGCACUGUGCUACCUACAGCAUCCCUUCCUCUGAGCGUGCCAGCGCAGUCCAUGGUGUCACAUCCCUGUGCCCCAUUCCCUUGGGACACACAUGCCAGGACCACCUCAAUGCCUGCCUCCGGCCUCACCGGCCACCGACCCCCCGGCCAGCACAGCCUGCCAACCACCCGAGCUGCGCAGUUCCCCCGCAACGUGGACCAAUGCUCAUUAAGCAUGAGGCAGAGACCACCAAAUAUGUCAAAACACACUUAAAAUUUAUUGUUUCAUACCAUACGUUUGAGUCUCUUGAACGCUGGCCAGUGUUUCUCCCUCUCCGCGAUGGGGCCUAUCUGCUGUCACCGACGCUUCGCGUAUAUGUAUAGCCCGCUUGCUUGCUGGCUUUUUUUUCC
Long non-coding RNA from Cyanistes caeruleus (blue tit), 2217 nucleotides. RefSeq lists it as uncharacterized. The record is from RefSeq and is a predicted model, not a curated record. NCBI's taxonomy places the organism in Eukaryota, Metazoa, Chordata, Aves, Passeriformes, Paridae.